RNAcentral lists this long non-coding RNA (1048 nucleotides) under Macaca fascicularis (crab-eating macaque). Its description in RNAcentral is "lncRNA (ENSMFAG00000058343.1)". The record is from RNAcentral. Lineage: Eukaryota; Metazoa; Chordata; Mammalia; Primates; Cercopithecidae.
GCUUCUAAUUUAAAUAAAGAUAAUUUUUGGUUUUGUUUUUACUGAUAUCAGUGAAAUCAUUUAGCAUGGAUUAAUUAAGUAAUUAUAAAUAAAGCAUCUAUAGUACUUAAUAUAUGACUUCUCUCUAAGAUACAACAAUAUACUUGAAGACUGAGCUGUAUCUAAAGUGAUGAUUACAUCAUGUCAUGAGAAAUAUUAAUAACUUGGGACAUGCAGAAAAUUUUGAAAGGAGCAUAGACCAGAGAGAGUGUAGUUCAGUUAGGAAAACAAAAGGCUCCUGAGACAGAGAAAUUUGUCUAAAUCCAGAGAGAUGAAGACGUUUGCCAGAUUAAGGCAUUCUAUUGGGGUAUUCCUUUUUUUUAUUCCUGGGUAAGAAAUUACCACACACAGAGCUGCUUUAGCGGCACUUUUCUAUUGUACCACUGUUCUGUAGGUUGGAAAUCUGGGCCGCCUAUGGGGGUUCUCUGUUUAAGGUUGGACAAUGUCAAGUGUUGUCUAGGCUGGUCUCUUCUUUGGAGACUUGGAAGAUGAAUCAGUUUUCAAACUCUUUUUUGUUGAGGUCUCCAUUCUUUUGCUGGUCAUCAGCCAAAAAUUGCUCACAACUCCUAGAGGCUGAUCUCUAAUCCAUGCACAUUGUCCCUCAACCUUUGAGCCAGCAGUGCUACAUUCAUUUUUUCUUCUACUUUGAAUAACUCUAACUGCCUAUACUACAUGCAGCCAGAAAAACUAUUCCUUUAAAGAUGUAUGCAAUUAGAAGCCAGGCAUGGUGGCUCAUGCCUGUAAUCCCAGCACUUUGGGAGGCCGAGACGGGAGGAUCACCUGAGGUUGGGAGUUCGAGUCCAGGCUGACCAACAUGGAGAAACCCCUCUCUAUUAAAAAUACAAAAUUAGCCAGGCAUGGUGGCACAUGCCUGUAAUCCUAGCUAUUCAGGAGGCUGAGGCAGGAGAAUUUAUUGAACCUGGGAGGUGGAGAUUGCAGUGAGCUGAGAUUGUGCCAUUGCACUCCCACCUGGGCAACAAGAGCAAAACUCUGUCUCAAAAAAAAAAAA